GAAAAUAUUGACAUAUUCAGAAGUCUUCCCAAAAAACCAAAAAAACAACAACAACAACAACAACAACAAAAAACUUCAGGGUUACUCAAGUUCAUCUGCAGCCACAUCCUUCCAAAAAUGCCUAUUUCUAUAAGAAGACCUACAUCUUAAGAAGGCAAUCAGUAUGGACUCUGUUGGAAUGUAAUGUGUCAAUUUGGUUUCAUGCCUCAUCACACUGGCAGACAGAAGAGGGUAAUGGCUGCUUUGGGGAGUGGAGGAAGCCAAAAAGAAGGCAAAGAGUGAAGACAGAGAAACAAGAUGUCAGUGGUGGUGCUGAGAAGGAAUAGAGAGACUUUUCUUCUUGUUAAGGGCCGCAGAGGGAGGAAUCCAGCUGAGGACUACACAGGGGCAUCUGGCUUCAGGAAUAACAGAUCAAAUGGUGACGAACUCCUUCAAAAUGGAGAGGGUCUCUAAGGUCUCUUCCAGCUGCAGAAUUCUCCUUUUCCGUGACUCAACCCAGAAUUCAACUGUAGAAAGUUGGGAAAAAUACUAUUCUCAAAGCUGACCACAUGGUGGCGCAGUGAAUCCUCCCAGAAACGAUACUCGGCUUCCCUGAGAGGCGAAUGAUGACACCCCAAAGCUGAAUUAUUCUAGGAGACGCCGCAUCAGUCUGCUAUGCUUCUGGUUCCUGGCGAGAGCAGAAACUUCAUAAUUUUCCUGGGCACAAAAAUGUGAUGAGAACUCUGUCAAGGCAAGCGACUUUAUUUCUCUUCUGGGCUUGCGACCGAAAGAAGCAGUUGAGUAUUGAACCACAUAUUUGAGGACUGCUUUCUUUUGUUCUCCUUAAAGCAAUGAAUGAAAAAACCACCACUAGUUUCCCAGGUGUCUCUAUUAUCAUUUUUCCUUCUUUCAUCACUUUUCCUUUAGCCUGUCAGCUGUCUCUUGGUCCUGCAUCCUCUCUAGUUCUGCCCUAAUUUUCCUCUUUUCCUUCUCAGCAAAGUUAUGCCUCAUGACUGUGAUUCACCCAUGCUUCAACUCACCACAGUUUGGAGCCUACGCUCAUUUCUAAAGGUCACAGAUGGACUUUGACUUGCCAAGCCCAAGGAUGCUUUCUUAGUCCUUAUCUUACACCCCAUCUUAAAACUCUCU
This 1128-nucleotide long non-coding RNA is filed under the name Equus asinus (donkey). RNAcentral's name for it is "lncRNA (ENSEASG00005031585.1)". The record is from RNAcentral. Lineage: Eukaryota; Metazoa; Chordata; Mammalia; Perissodactyla; Equidae.